This 74-nucleotide transfer RNA is filed under the name Phelsuma sundbergi. RNAcentral's name for it is "tRNA-Asn". Lineage: Eukaryota; Metazoa; Chordata; Lepidosauria; Squamata; Gekkonidae. The record is from RNAcentral.
ACUAGAUUGACGGGCCUCGAUCCCGCAAAAUAUUAAUUAACAACUAAAUACCCUAUCCAGCGGGCUUCAAUCUA